AAAGGAGAGAUCCGGUACCGGCUGGGCAUGCGGCGCAUUAGCUAGUUGGCGGGGCAACGGCCCACCAAGGCGACGAUGCGUAGGGGUUCUGAGAGGAAGGUCCCCCACACUGGAACUGAGACACGGUCCAGACUCCUACAGGAGGCAGCAGUGAGGAAUAUUGGUCAAUGGGCGCAAGCCUGAACCAGCCAAGUCGCGUGAGGGAAGACGGCCCUACGGGUUGUAAACCUCUUUUGCCGGGGAGCAAGCCUGAGCACGUGUGCCCAGGCGGAGAGUACCCGGAGAAAAAGCAUCGGCUAACUCCGUGCCAGCAGCCGCGGUAAUACGGAGGAUGCGAGCGUUAUCCGGAUUUAUUGGGUUUAAAGGGUGCGCAGGCGGGCUGUUAAGCCGGCGGUAAAAAUUCAGGGCUCAACCCUGUCGAGCCGUCGGAACUGGCAGUCUUGAGUGGGCGAGAAGUAUGCGGAAUGCGUGGUGUAGCGGUGAAAUGCAUAGAUAUCACGCAGAACGCCGAUUGCGAAGGCAGCAUACCGGCGCCCAACUGACGCUGAGGCACGAAAGCGUGGGGAUCGAACAGGAUUAGAUACCCUGGUAGUCCACGCAGUAAACGAUGAGCGCUAACUGUCCGGAGCGAGCGAGCUCUGG
Molecule: ribosomal RNA, 642 nt
Filed under: uncultured bacterium
Lineage: Bacteria
Description: bacterial SSU rRNA
Rfam family: Bacterial small subunit ribosomal RNA
Source: RNAcentral